AGUGAACGCUGGCGGUAGGCCUAACACAUGCAAGUCGAACGGCAGCACAGGAGAGCUUGCUCUCUGGGUGGCGAGUGGCGGACGGGUGAGGAAUACAUCGGAAUCUACUCUGUCGUGGGGGAUAACGUAGGGAAACUUACGCUAAUACCGCAUACGACCUACAGGUGAAAGCAGGGGACCUUCGGGCCUUGCGCGAUUGAAUGAGCCGAUGUCGGAUUAGCUAGUUGGCGGGGGAAAGGCCCACCAAGGCGACGAUGCGUAGCUGGCCUGAGAGGAUGCUCAGCCACACUGGAGCUGGGACACGGUCCAGACUCCUACGGGAGGCAGCAGUGGGGAAUAUUGGACAAUGGGCGCAAGCAUGUUCCAGCCAUACCGCGUGGGUGAAGAAGGCCUUCGGGUUGUAAAGCCCUUUUGUUGGGAAAGAAAUCCAGCUGGCUAAUACCCGGUUGGGAUGACGGUACCCAAAGAAUAAGCACCGGCUAACUUCGUGCCAGCCGCCGCAGUAA
RNAcentral lists this ribosomal RNA (506 nucleotides) under uncultured bacterium. Its description in RNAcentral is "partial 16S ribosomal RNA". It matches the Rfam family "Bacterial small subunit ribosomal RNA", at positions 29 to 523 of the family's 1533-position model. The record is from RNAcentral.